GGCACGAUGGUGGACCUCAGCGCCCUCCUCUCCUUCUAGAGGCGUUGUGGCUAUGGGAAGAGCCGACGCAGCCAUCCCGUGGUCCGUCCUUUCUCAAGCUGAGGAGAGGACGUGCGCGUGGGUGCCGGCAGAGCGGCCGGAUUGGGGUGGUGACCAUGACUCGCUGCAGUGGUUCCGCCUCCUCUCAGCCUAGAGCCUACGCCUGCCUCGCCUUGCCAAUCGUGGCUGGCUUCCUCCUCUUCCCUGACGCCGGCCAUCGCAGAAGGAUGCAACAAGGACGCUCCGGUGCUCUAGAAGGCGGCAGAGCCCGGGGGAUGGUGGUGAGGGGCACAUGAGAGGAUUGAGUUUCAGUUGAUGAUGGCAAAAUUUCUUAACGGACUAUUUCUGAUAAAUUAUCUCAGGAAUCUCCUAAUGAAAAGGAUGGGCCGUUUAAUGUUGAUUCAGACAAAGACACGACACUGAUGGCAUGGAGUGGUUGCGGCAUUGCAGAGACCUAUAUGCUAUUUCAAUUGAAAGGGAAACAUCAAAACAGUGGUGCAAACCAAUGAACCUGCUGUUGGAGACGACAGUACCCACACCAUAUGAAAUCAAUGGUCUUCACAAGAUCAUGGACUGUGACAUGUUAUUGACAAAAGAAGAGCAUGAGACACAGAUUGUCUUCCAGAUAAAGUCUGCGAGUAGUAUGCAGAUUAAUAAAAGUUUCUAAAGACUCAAAUAUUACAUCACCUCUCCACUCCAUUGGUGUUGGUUCUCUCAACUUGACGCCUAUUUAUUUGGAUUUUGAUAUCCAAUGUCCUGCAGCCAUGGAGUGUUGUCAGGUAUAUUUCUAUCCAUGUUUGUGUGCAAAUUUCAGAGUAUGUGUGCAACCGAAGAAGACCCCUUCCUCCACUCUGAUUUUGAAUUGCUUGGUCAAGAGAAUAAGAGGAAGACAAUACAGGUAUAAAUUGCUUAUUAUGGUGCCGAUUGUGGAGAUGUUUUGGGUCAUCUUGCUGAAGAUUCCCUAUGAAGGCAGGCUGAUAUAAUGGUAGUAGAAUCUUAAUAUUUGGCUUGAUCUGUACUACCAGAGAUAUCGAGGUUUAAUGAACUGUAUGUCCUGGAUGUUACAGUGGCACAUACUUUUGUUUCGGGAGGUAACAUUUUCCCAGCUUCUCAAGGUUUAUCUCCGGAGAGGCUGGAGGGGGUGAUGUGUUCAUGGAGUUCAGUAACACAGUAGAAUCUGGUUUGCCACAUUAUUUUUCUCAAGAUAUUAGGUUUUCAAAUGUUGCUUCCCAUGGAUCUGAUAGACAUGGUGAGCUAAUUUUAUGUAUCAGUUAGGUCAUAAGAUGUCCAUGAACUUCUUCUAUUUUGCCUACUACAUAAGGUUUAUGUUGUAUAUAGACCAGCAAACUGGAAUAGUGGGCCUAUCAAUGUUGAAUUCACAAGGCCUGAAUAUGGAGACAUAUAUUUUUACAUGAAAUAGUUGUUUCUAGAAUUUUUUAUGUUCCUAUUACAGGCUGUUGAUGCACACUGUUUUAUAACAGGAUGAUGCUGUGUGCUACUUUGUUGAGUGGUUGAUUGCAGAAUGGAAGGGCUGGGGUGCCAUCACGAUGAACAGCGACGAGCUAUGAAGAGUAUUAGAAGUGGGACUACAGCCAUGAGAUUCUCUGAUGUCUGGAAGAGGCAAGCUAGAGCAUUCCAUUCCUCUAUGGUUAGGAAGCACACCUCGCUGUAGACAUCGCCUGACGGCCAAGAAACAAAGGGGGGCUUCAAAAGGGCUUCCUUUCCGCCUUGGUUUCAGAACUUGUGUUCAUGUUAUUAGCUAUAGAAAUGCAACUGUGUUGUGUAUGGAAAUGGGGUUGCGACAAAGCAGAGCUCAUUGCACUGCGCCCUCACAUAUCCCCAUCAGCUACAUGGGCCACAUCACCUCCUGCGGCAGCCUUGGCGCUCCAGGGCGAUUCGAGCAACGCCCGGAGCCAUCUCGGGCAUCUGUGUGGCGUUGGACGUCGAAAACUCAACGGGAAACGGUGGCCUCAAGCGCGGGUCUGUCUUAAGUCCAUGUGCAUUCUGUCCCACCGGUGCCCGGCAGCGUCGACGACCAUUUUCUCCUUCCACUGUCUUCUUUUCAUCGCCCCAGCCAGAUGUACUUCCGGCAAGAAGGGUGUAGGAUGAAGAAUAUGAUGAUGAUACUGAGGCUGGACAGGUCAGUGCAAUCACUAAUGAAACCCUUACUGUUAGUUAGUUCUCCACGAGCAUACAAAAUGUAAGAAAGCAGGAGAAUAACUCAAUAGUUAAUUCUCCAUGAGCACCUCAACUAUUUCUCAUGUUGCAAUCUAUUGUCGCUCUUAUUUUCUGAACUGGACGCUACUGGAUCGUCGCUUCCAGUAUAAAACAAUCGACAAUACAUAGUAGCCCUCCAGCGUGUCUGUUGUAUUUGUCUUCCACCUGAUGUGAGUACAUAUUUAGAUAUCUACAGGUAAUAAUAGCUGAGGUGUAUUUUAUUUCUACCAGUUAGGACAUGUGCUCUUCGCAUUGAUUUAGCCCGAGUAGGUUUCUUACUCUAUUCCAGCUACAUCAAUAGAGAAUACUCUUUUUGAUUCUU
This is a long non-coding RNA of Lolium rigidum, 2578 nucleotides long. RefSeq lists it as uncharacterized. Lineage: Eukaryota; Viridiplantae; Streptophyta; Magnoliopsida; Poales; Poaceae. The record is from RefSeq and is a predicted model, not a curated record. The transcript has 8 exons.